This 464-nucleotide ribosomal RNA is filed under the name uncultured bacterium. RNAcentral describes it as "partial 16S ribosomal RNA". It matches the Rfam family "Bacterial small subunit ribosomal RNA", at positions 28 to 506 of the family's 1533-position model. The record is from RNAcentral.
GACGAACGCUGGCGGCGUGCUUAACACAUGCAAGUCGAACGGAAAGGCCCCCUUGUGGGGUACUCGAGUGGCGAACGGGUGAGUAACACGUGAGUAACCUACCCUUGACUUUGGGAUAACUUCAGGAAACUGGGGCUAAUACCGGAUAGGAGCUCCUGCUGCAUGGUGGGGGUUGGAAAGUUUCGGCGGUUGGGGAUGGACUCGCGGCUUAUCAGCUUGUUGGUGGGGUAGUGGCUCACCAAGGCUUUGACGGGUAGCCGGCCUGAGAGGGUGACCGGCCACAUUGGAACGGAAGUGCGCCCGGGGCCCCUUCGGGAGGCAGCAGUGGGGAAUUUUGCACAAUGGGCGAAGGCCAAACGCAGCAAGCCCGGAGGGGGGGAAACGCCUUUGGGGUUGUAAACCGCUUUCGCCUGUGCGGAAGCGUAAGGACCGUUAAUGGGUAAAGAACAACGGGAAACCUAAGA